Molecule: long non-coding RNA, 599 nt
Filed under: Pan troglodytes (chimpanzee)
Lineage: Eukaryota; Metazoa; Chordata; Mammalia; Primates; Hominidae
Description: long non-coding RNA NONPTRT003973
Source: RNAcentral
GGGCUAGGUUACUUCGCAGAAGGCUCUGGCCCUGAGUCCGAGGGGGGACUGCGGGGUCCAGGGGCGAUGAAUGGUGAGGUGGCUUCAGUCCGCCCUCCCCGGGGACGCUGAGCGUGUUCGUGUUUGUGUUUGUGUUGGACACCCCCGCCCCCGCACGUCCGCCUCGUCACUCCUCCCCUCCUCACUCCCGCCACCUGGAGCGAAUCUGACCGUGUCCCUGUUUCCUCCCUCAGCUCCCGCAACCUCCGGAGCUUGUGCGCGUACUUCAGGGACCGGCACCACGUCACCGUCACCUCCUGAGUAUCUGAAAAUUCAAAAGAGAAGCAAUUCAAAGGACUUCCAUUUACUUAUAUCCCCUCUAAUCUGCACAAAAGGUUAAAUGUAGCAGUGCAGCAGUUCUGGCCAUCAAAAUAUGAUUAUUGUACUUUAAAAGCAGCCAUGAGAACUCUGCUCUUUGAUAGACUUCAACUUGCAACAACUAAGGAAUAAUCCAGUUCCAGAGGAGAUUAGGAGUUGGGUGAGAGGAUAGACUCUAAUCUUAGAGAAUUAAGGUAUUGUACAAGUUAUCAAGGCCUAGCAAUCCAACUACUUUGACCAGA